Molecule: transfer RNA, 68 nt
Filed under: Pseudomonas orientalis
Lineage: Bacteria; Pseudomonadati; Pseudomonadota; Gammaproteobacteria; Pseudomonadales; Pseudomonadaceae
Also listed under: 1 other name
Description: tRNA-Thr
Source: RNAcentral
GCCUUGGUGGCGUUGGCAAAUAACUGGUAAUCAUUGGGUCCCUGGUUCGAGUCCAGGUCGUGGAGCCA